AUGCUGAAGACUUGCUUGCUGUACUGUAGUAUAUACCCUGAGAAUUACGGAUUUAACAUGCGUCAUUUGGUCAUGCGAUGGGUCGCUCAAGGAUUUAUUUAUGAAGAGGCUGCAUCAGAAGGAUAUUUCAAAGAGCUUGCCUGCAGGGGUUUGAUGCUACCAGAUGGUCAAGGGACCUACCAAAUGAAUCCUAUGAUGCGAAAUUUCCUUAGAUGCAAAUCGUGUGAAGAUGAUUUCUUUACUUGCAGCUCUGGCAUCACAUCGGAAUCUGCAUGUCCAGUCCACCUGCUAUGUAUCGACGAAUAUCCAGUUGAUGAUGGUGGAGUGAGGGUCAUUGAUUUGGAUUGGUCUCAGGUUCGAACUCUUGUGGUUUUUAAAGGUGCUGGGAGUCUCCCCUUUGAGAAGUUGGAACAUGUGCGGGUGUUGGAUCUUCAAGAUAAUUAUGUUGAUCCUGAAUCCGAAGAGGCUUUUUGGGAUGAUCAUGUGAAGGAUAUAUGUGGACUGCUCCGUAUGAGGCACCUAUUCGGCCUAGGGGGGGUGGGAGUUAGCAAGAUACCACUAGAAAUAGGGAGGCUGCAGUAUUUGGAGACUUUGGAGGUAGUGGGAACAUCGAUCAGAGAGCUACCCGUUGAGAUUGGGGCACUGAAGCAAUUAAAGACUCUAGACAUGAGUAUAAACAGAAGGCUGACGGAGCUGCCCAUGGAGAUCGGGGGCCUGCAACAUUUAGAGACACUGCGCAUUAGGGAAACAAAUAUCACAAAGCCGCCCUGGGAGAUCAUCGGGAUGCUGAAGAAGUUGAAGAAUCUUGACGUGAGUGUCAACGAAUGGAUCAGAGAGCUGCCUAGGGAGAUCAGGAACCUGCAUCAUUUAGAAACUCUGGACCUGAGUCGCAAUAGAGGUCUCACAAAUAUACCGGGGGAGAUUGGGAAAUUGCAGCAUUUGAAAACGCUCAACGUGAGUUCAGCAAGUAUCACAAGGCUACCUAGUGAAAUCGGGAGGCUAAAAAGUUUGGAGACCCUGGACCUGAGUUACAACAAGAGGCUCACAGAGCUGCCUCGUGAGAUCGGGAAUAUGCAGAAUCUGAAGCAUCUGCUCUUGUGUGGUACAAUGGUGGGGAAGAUACCAAGGGAAAUCGGGGGGCUGAAGAAGCUGAAGAUUUUGAUAUUAGAUGGGACCAUCAUUGCACUAGUUUGGGAGGUUGGUCAGUUUUCGGAGUUGGAGGGAGUGCCCGAGUGCAUCCGCCAAGCUUGGAAGAAUGGUGACCUUGUGUCUGAAUUGGCCGGGGAGACCAUGUCCUACAAUAAGGGUGACCUAACUGUUGGAACAAAACACAUGCACAUUCCACCCUGGAUCAAACAAUACUUCAACAACCUUCUCAACUUAGAUAUCAGGAUCUGCAAACUAGAGGAGCCGGAUCUCAAGAUUCUGCGGGAGAUGCCCAACCUUUGCCUGCUCAGGCUAAGGUUCGUAGUAGUUCCAAGAAAACCCAUAUCCAUCAGCGGUAAAGGGUUCCCAAGUCUCAUGGUGCUUGUUGUUGACAGCCGCGUGCCACGGCUUACCUUCCAGGAGGGAGCGAUGCCGAAGGUGCAAUAUAUCAGCUUCGAGUUCCGGUUCUACGGUGGUCUGCCAAAUGAAGACCGUCUCAGCAUCAAGCACCUCCGGAGCCUUGGGUGGCUCGAAUUUACAUGCAACAAAUGGUACCGAGGAGCAGGCAGCAGCCCGUUCAUUAGCGCGAUGGUUGAUGUCGCGAGGAAGGAAGCCCAGGAGCAUCCCAACCAGAUCAGCUUCCGUGUCUCUGGCUGCGAGGAUGAGAAUUUUCCAGCGAACAAGAGCGCACAGGUUGGAGAAGCUUCCAGCAGUGGGACGGGGGAGAUCCCAAGAGUGCUGCAUUGCCAAAAGUGA
Molecule: ribosomal RNA, 1902 nt
Filed under: Triticum aestivum (bread wheat)
Lineage: Eukaryota; Viridiplantae; Streptophyta; Magnoliopsida; Poales; Poaceae
Description: partial small subunit ribosomal RNA
Source: RNAcentral